This 78-nucleotide transfer RNA is filed under the name Acidimicrobiia bacterium. RNAcentral's name for it is "tRNA-Val". It matches the Rfam family "tRNA". From Rfam's summary of the family: Transfer RNA (tRNA) molecules are approximately 80 nucleotides in length. Their secondary structure includes four short double-helical elements and three loops (D, anti-codon, and T loops). Lineage: Bacteria; Bacillati; Actinomycetota; Acidimicrobiia. The record is from RNAcentral. RNAcentral also lists the same sequence under 2 other names.
GGGCCCUUAGCUCAGUCCGGCUAGAGCGCUUCCCUGACACGGAAGAGGCCACUGGUUCAAGUCCAGUAGGGCCCACCA